GCUGGCGGAGCCCGGGAGGCGGAGAAGGCUGUUGUUACCUUGGCCGUCGCAUCCCCGAGGGAGUCGUGUCGGCGCCACCCCGGCCCCCGAGCCCGCAGAUUGCCCACCGAAGCUCGUGUGUGCACCCCCGAUCCCGCCAGCCACUCGCCCCUGGCCUCGCGGGCCGUGUCUCCGGCAUCAUGUGUGGUAUAUUUGCUUACUUAAACUACCAUGUUCCUCGAACGAGACGAGAAAUCCUGGAGACCCUAAUCAAAGGCCUUCAGAGACUGGAGUACAGAGGAUAUGAUUCUGCUGAUUUAUCUCCCAAGCUGUAUUCUAGGCCUCCUACAAGUUUCUUCCUAGAUAGACCAUGAUAUUUUAAACUUUGCAUGUUCAAAAAUUGAAUUGAGGCCGGGCGUGGUGACUCACGCCUGUAAUCCCAGCACUUUGGGAGGCUGAGGUGGAUGGAUCACUUGAGGUGUGGGAUUUGAUGGAGGCAAUGAUAAAGAUUGGGAAGCCAAUGCCUGCAAAAUCCAGCUUAUUAAGAAGAAAGGAAAAGUUAAGGCACUGGAUGAAGAAGUUCACAAGCAACAAGAUAUGGAUUUGGAUAUAGAAUUUGAUGUACACCUUGGAAUAGCUCAUACCC
Molecule: small RNA, 625 nt
Filed under: Pan troglodytes (chimpanzee)
Lineage: Eukaryota; Metazoa; Chordata; Mammalia; Primates; Hominidae
Description: processed transcript
Source: RNAcentral